This 1473-nucleotide long non-coding RNA is filed under the name Sorghum bicolor (sorghum). RNAcentral's name for it is "long non-coding RNA (SBIC_LNC011653)". Lineage: Eukaryota; Viridiplantae; Streptophyta; Magnoliopsida; Poales; Poaceae. The record is from RNAcentral.
CUAGGUUACCCGCCUGUGGAAACUCUUGAUUUCCACAGGCACCCAGCGCAGGCGGUUCUCCAAACCGCCUGUGAAAUGGGGUUGGAAACCGCCUGUAUAGUGCUUCUGUGUACUAGUGGUAAUAUCUCGAUGAAUUGAUAAAGUGUGAUUAUUCUUGUUACUUACGUAUAUGAAUGUUAGCUAACCAUGCAAUAAUAUAGGUUUUGUUAGUUAUACUCUUUGUGUUCCAAACUGUAAAUGGUUCUAGCUUUUCUGGUUACAUAGCUUUUGCACGAACCUAGAUAUACAUGCAUUAUAUCCAAACAUAGACCUUGUUUAGUUCCAAAAAAUUUUUGGAUUUCGGUACUGUAGUAUUUUCUUUUUUAUUUGAUAAAUAUUAUUUAAUCAUGGAUUAAUUAGGCUCAAAAGAUUUAGACAAACUGUACAAUUUGUUUUUGUUUUCGUUUAUAUUUAAUAAUUCAUGCAUGCAUGUGCCGUAAGAUUCGAUGUGACAGAGAAUUUUGAAUUUUUUUUUAUUUUUAGGGUAAACUAAACAAGGCCAUAUAGUAAAAAGCUAUACAAUUUGGAACGGAGUAUUUCCUCCCCUUAGAAAAACAAUGGCGUGAGGAGGGCACAUGCAUGCAAAUUAAAAGCACACGUGAUGGUUGACGGUUCUGGAUGAAUCCACAUCCACUCAGGUACCAAAAUUGGGCGUGACACCCGUGAGGGACCGUUUCCCUUUGCAAAUUGAAGGACACGGACAAUCAGAUACCCAAUCCCGGCUGCGGCCUUCCCUGCUCAAACAAAACUGCCCAUCAUGCACUCCUUCGUCGCCUACUACGUCUGUCUCACUCCGCAUGUUGUUUAGUUCCAAUUCUUUUUUAAAAAAAUAGAUAUCAUAACACUUUCGUUUGUAUUUAAUAAAUAUUAUUCAAUUAUAAACUAAUUAGGUUCAAAAGAUUUAUCUCACAAAUUACAGAUAAAUCUAUAUUUAAUGUUCUAUUCAUGUGCCGUAAGAUUUGAUGUGACGAUUAAUCUAAAAAAUUUUGCAAAAUAUUUUUGGAACUUGCCACAGCCAUGGGGCCCACUGACCCCACACACUGAAACUGAAAUGCUCGGACUCAUCUGCUUCUGUUUCUGGGUCUCUCCCUCUCUCACGUGCACACAUCAAACGGACCGGGCCGGACUCUAACAUUGGGCUCGUCUGUAAAAGCACAGCUCAAAGUGGCCCAGGUGAUGUACUGUGGCCCUGUAGUGAGCCCAUUUGAUUGAUGGGCUCAAAGUAGCUUAUAGGCUUAUGGCCCGCAACUGGCACGGAUUGCUAGUACUGUGUGUGCAGCGUCAGGAUUUCAUCAUCAUCAGACAAAAGAUCAAAUCGGGAACAAGCAAAACCAAAUGGCUGAAGAAUCUAAAAAAGAGGUCGAGAGGAAUUAAGUUUCUUCUUAAAGGAGAAGAAUAAAGGACAAUAAUCGAGUCGUUAUCUCAAAAAUGGAA